GAGAGAAGAGGGAAGAGCAUCGCCGGAGGGGGCUUGGCACCGUCGCCGCCUCCGUUCGUCGGGCCCUGCUACGCCGUCGCCACCAUCCCCAGCGUCGCCCAGCCUUGCCCGCGCUGCAGUGCCUCCUGUCAGCCAUUUGUGGAGCCGCGGAGAGCAUCGCCGUUGAAGCCAUGCCGUCGCAGAAGGAGCCAGAGGAGGGAGACGAGCCCGAGC
RNAcentral lists this long non-coding RNA (213 nucleotides) under Arachis ipaensis. RNAcentral's name for it is "long non-coding RNA (AIPA_LNC000341)". Lineage: Eukaryota; Viridiplantae; Streptophyta; Magnoliopsida; Fabales; Fabaceae. The record is from RNAcentral.